CAAACUGGAGAUGGCGACCGGCGCACGGGUGAGUAACACGUAUCCAACCUGCCGAUAACUCGGGGAUAGCCUUUCGAAAGAAAGAUUAAUACCCGAUGGCAUAGUUCUUCCGCAUGGUGGAACUAUUAAGGAAUUUCGGUCAUCGAUGGGGAUGCGUUCCAUUAGGUUGUUGGUGGGGUAACGGCCCACCAAACCUUCGAUGGAUAGGGGUUCUGAGAGGAAGGUCCCCCACAUUGGAACUGAGACACGGUCCAAACUCCUACGGGAGGCAGCAUG
RNAcentral lists this ribosomal RNA (276 nucleotides) under uncultured bacterium. RNAcentral describes it as "partial 16S ribosomal RNA". It matches the Rfam family "Bacterial small subunit ribosomal RNA", at positions 77 to 353 of the family's 1533-position model. The record is from RNAcentral.